Molecule: long non-coding RNA, 7834 nt
Filed under: Gallus gallus (chicken)
Lineage: Eukaryota; Metazoa; Chordata; Aves; Galliformes; Phasianidae
Source: RNAcentral
AUUUUCUAGAGCUGAUUGGUACAUUCAUUUAAAAAAAAUCAUUUUUUCUGUGGUGUGCAUCUUGUAAAUACCAUUGUCAGCCACGCUAUCAGAAGGGUGUGCUUGGGAACAUCAGUCUGGCCUGUAAACUUUCAGUGUAUGUGGCAUGAUGUAGGAAACAGACUCAUUCUGCUGUUCCCUGGGUAAAAGGAGAGCUCCCAGGAAUGUUGGCAGAUGAUAAGCAGAAAUGCCAGAACACUAAUCCUUCAGAGCAAAUCUUCUCAUUGCUACACUUUGACUAACAUGUUGCUGUGAACAGGACCUGGAAAUGAGCCUGGAGUCCAGUGGUACUAGAAGGAAACCACAGCACAGCUGGAAGAGGCAGAAUGUGAGAAAUCCAUGGAUACAGGCAGUCCUGCACAGCAGUACAGUUGAUUGACCUUACAUGGCUUGCUGCAGCCCAAGCUCCACUGAGCAUCUCACUGGAGAAGAACCAGAUCAGCUAACCAGACAGCACUCCAGAGAGAAAUUUUAAGUUUGAAACAUACUGUGGAAAACGGAUUGAAAAUUCCAGCUGACAGAAGCAAUCCCUUCUAGAUAAAUAGGAUUUUACUGUUUAUGCAUCAGCAUGGCAUUGGAAAAAUGCAGAUGGAUAGUGACUCAAGGUGGAUAACAAGAUGCAUUGCCAGCAGAUGAAGAUUAAAAGCAUUAUGAAGAUUAUGAAGAUUAUGAAGAUUAAAACAUUAAAAGUAAAUGUUAACUUUCAUGACUCCAAGUGAACUACUGAUACCCCUCUCAUCAUGAAGCCUAUAAAACUCACAGGAUACAGCUAAUAGCCCCUUCUGCUGAGCCCUGAAAUGCUGGAGAAUGUUCAGAGCUACUCAGCUUCUGCUAGGACAUUCCAAGAGGAGUCUUUGUGCCCUUGGAUCCUUAAUGAGCAGACUGACAAUGAAUGUGUAGCCUCAUACCCCUGAGUAAAAUCGGACCUCUCAGGAAUGCUGGCAUGAGACAAGAAGAAAUGCCGGAAUACUAAUUCUCUGGUGCAAAGCUCCUCAUCCCAACAUUUCUGCUAAGAUGUGGCUGAGCAAUGGACAUUGGAGAUGCAAAUGUCACAGCGAACUGUAUCUGGGCAGUGGGUGCUGUUUGAGGAGACAUUCAGAAUGCCAUUUUCAUCAGAUGACAAAGCAGGCGAACAGCUCCAGUUACAAAGCAGCACUGUGCUGACCUCCGGGAGCUGCUGGUAUGAGAAGGUGGUGGUGUCUACUCUGCUGGAGCUGUAAGAGCACUGUCAUAAAACCCUAACAGGAAGGCUCAGAGCCUGGAGUCCAGUGGUACUAGAAGGAAACCACAGCACAGCUGGAAGAGGCAGAAUGUGAGAAAUCCAUGGAUACAGGCAGUCCUGCACAGCAGUACAGUGUGAGCAUGGUGUUGACAUUCCCCACAGUGAAGAGGGCAUCCAGACAUGCCAUCCAGACAUGAAAACAGAUUACACUCCAUUUUCUGAAAGUUCCUAUAAAAUAUUCUGAGUUGGAAAGACUACACAAGAAUGAUCAAGUCCAACUCCUGUCUGCACAUAGGACUACCUAAAAAUUAAACCAUAAUUCUGAGAGUGUUUAAAUGCCCAUCUAGUAUGGCAGCAGCAGAGGUCUAACCAUGGCCACGUAAGGUGUCUGACUGGCUCCAGAGCCUCUCGUUUGUUCGCAUGCUAUUUUCACAAGACAAAAAAUUCCUGAUGCUGCAAUGGACUUAUGCCAUGAAGGACUGGAUCUUUCCUCCAGAAGGCAUUCACUGUGGCCCUGAGUCUUUCACUACUGCAUCACAGUUCUCGGAAUACACAGUACUUUGCCUUGACAUCUCCAAUUUCUUGAAAAGCAAAGGAAAAUUCACACAGCAGAGGGGGAAAAAAAGCAAAAAACAAAACAAAAAAACAUAAACAAAUUUUGUUCUACUUUCCCUUGAAAUUAUGUUGUUCAAUCCCUUUUUCAUGCUGAAACAUCUAUAACUCUAAUUAUUUCUCAGCACCAAAAAAACUCAUGUCUGACAGACACUCAGAGGCCUUACGAAACACAAACAUGCUGCCCUACAAACACCAACUCUUGGCUAUCAUAGAAUCACAGAAUUUCUAUGUUAUGAUAUUGACUUUCCUUGUCUUGUGUUCAGAGAGCAUGAAUAGAGGAGAUAGAGGCACUCAUGAGAACUGUUGAAGUGUGACAGUGGAGCACGAUCAAGAACUCUUGAGUUUGUGGCUCAGUACAAACUACACUCUCAUCUCUGCAUCUUGGAGCAACAACAACAUCAACCUUGUAGCCUGUUUAGUUAGAAAGAAAUUCCACAUCCAAUAUCUCCAUGUAAUUACCAUGGAACCAUCUGCAGACCUUCUGUUUAAAUCCUCUGCUCCUUCUACCCUGGGCUGCUCUGAACAUGACCUCCUGGACAGUUGCACUGACAUAAGAAGUUGCCACUGACCUGGCCUCCAUUUCAAAUGGAUUGAUCUUUUCUACCUAGAGAGGAUCAAAUAAAGUCAGUCCUGGCAGACCGUAGGAGAAUCACCUAGGAAAGUUUAAGAAUGGAUCUUCUUGGGAGUCAGUAUGCGUGAUGGAAGAUUUAACCUUGGCAGCUGGUGAAUUCCAGUACCAAAAAGUACCUGAUAAUGAGUUGUCAUCUCUCUGAAGAAGCACAGCAUAACUAUCACUAUCACACAGUUCAUGCUCUCAUGAGAGCAUUGGGUACCUUUGUUAUUGUCUCUAGAUUCUGUUAGUUAAACACUCAUCCUAGAGCAGCUGCACAAUGGACUUCAUAGACAUUUAGAGGAGGUGUGCUCAAAUCAGAUGGGUAUCCAGUAAAUGGAUGCCAAAAAACAGGACACUCUGAUACAUGAAUCUUCUUCACCAAAUGGAGGAUGCUUUUAAAAAGAUAUUUAGUUGUUUCCUUUGUACUGGGAUCCACAGGCUCUCCCACGCUCUGUCAUGAAGCUUUUUGUGAUCCUGAUCAGCACCAGCUCCUUUUACUUGACUGCAAAUUUGAAGAGAACACAUUCACAUGAAAGAUUAGCAGAAGAUCUCAAGAUGGCACCAAUCUCACCCUGCCCGUUCAAUGUCAUGCCACCAGCAGUUUCACCUGGAAAGAUGCUUGGUUAAUUCUGCUCAUAUCAAAAAGGAGCUCAGUGUAGGAGAAGCAGGAAAGCCAAGAGUGCCUACGGAUAGCAGCCUGCAGCAGACCAGGGUACCCUCUGCAAGAUGAAGCUUCAGGACAGGAGAGGCAGAGAAGGGGGAUGAGAGUCAGGAUUUCUUCUUCCCACUGUGACAGGCAUUCUAGAGUCCCAGCCUCUCCUCCAGAGCCCUGCAGCCAGAGCACAGCUACCAGAAGAGCUGCUACAGUCGCUCUUCCCUGUGGAUCAGUCAGGCGUGCGGUGGAGCUGGCAGUGUGGUUAAUGCCUCAUACUAACCUUCCAAUAGUCACAUCCUUCAGAGAACCCAUGUGCUGUCUUUUCUCAGCAGAUGGCCCAAUGCAAAUAAGGCCUUGCACAGGGACAAGUGCCUGUUCAUGUCAGUUCAGUAUCUCAUGUAUUAAUAAAUGACUGGUGAAUUUCAAAGCAUUCUUUGGUCCAGACCACCUGUCUUUGCCCUGGUCCAGUGAGUACAAAAGGCUGGGACACAAAUUUACUAAGAUUUCAACCCAUUUGAUUGAGUUUGGUGAUAACAUCUGAGCCAUGUAGUUUUACCAGGUUUAGAACAGCUCAGCCUUCAGUGAGAGCCGGUUGCUGGCUGGUAGCACACACGGCACCCAAAGGACAGUGCACCUCAGCGGCUCCGUUCUGCCACCUGCUGGCAACUUGUGCCCGGAGUUCAAAUAGAGCAGGGCUGCCAGUGUGAGCUCCCUGUGACUGACAGGAGCUGCUGGAGCCCGAGGCUGAGGAGAAAGCUCGUGGGGACUGUGUGCUCCAGAACAGGCCAGGGAGGUAAGGGGAUAGGCGCAGCCACUCUCCCAGCUGAUGUCUCUGGGCCUUGACUUCCUCUACCUGAUUGCCUGUGGGGACUGAACUUUCUGCAAGCAUCUGAAGCUGGGAGUAAGCUCUGCCUCUGACUUCAUCCUCAACCACUGAGGCUGCAAGGAGAGGUGGCUGUGCACUCUGAGGGGAACAGCUCAUCUUUUUCAUCUGUUGACACCCGGGAGAGGUGAUCACCUCCACCACACGCACUCCAAGCUGAACACCGACAGUUCCUGUGCAGCUGCCAUGCUCCUGGUGGCACAGCACAUCCCAGCAGAGCAGGGCAAGCACCCAGGCACUGCACUCACACACUGCCAUUCCACCGGCUGCAGAGGGGCCUCUCUGGCCUGCUUCUGACUGUUAACAUUGCAGCUGAGAAAGGAGCUGUGCCGGACGGAGCAAGACUUUCAGGGAUAAGAAUAGCACCUGCCAUCUUAGGACACAGCGCAGUUGUCCAGCUCCUGCACGGCAACACGUUGCAGUGAGAUAUAGAAGGCAAGCUACCCGCUGAGGAAUGUCUUCGAGUGCUAUUCGUGGAGGCGUAUCAUCUACAGCAGCAGGCCCGGCCCCACGCAGGAGCCUUGCAAGAGGGGUUAUUUUGAGCCUUGGGCACUGAGGAUGAAGGGAGACAAAUGACAGUGAUCCUCCUCCUGGCACAGGCAACCUCCAGAGCUCUGUGCACAACUGCCACAGCCUGUCACUGCUUCAGGGGAUGACUCUUGUGAAGCAGUUGGGCGAUGUGGUGGGACCUGAGAGCCCAGGAGAUGAGGGCCAGGAGGGAGCUGAGAAUUCGCUGGGGACACGGGGGCAGGCCUCAGGCCCACCUGUCCUGCAGCUCAGGCGCUCCACUGCCUGCUUUGUUUUUGACCACAUCCCUAAAGCAUCGGCACGUAACUUUGUGCAGGUGAACACCGUGAUCAGAGGAGACACCGUUAGACUUAUGAUUUGAUAGCUGCUUCAUCUUCAGAGAAUUACCUGCCCUUUCAUAUCAGUGCUUGUUGUAACAUUUUUCUUCGUACAGGUCAUCAAAGAAACUAGUUUCAAGUGCCACACUUACCAGUUUGUCCAGGAGCCUUCUUAUUCUUCUUCAGAGCUGCUGCCUUCACUCUUCCCUUUGGCUGUCUUUGUAGUUUCCUUACUUUCUUCUAACAUGAUGACGUAUCCUUGAGCUUCUAUGGUGGAGCCAAUGGCAGUAUAGGGUCUGCAGUGUAGAAUUUCAGAGAGUCUCAGAGAUUUAUGUUUCUACAGGGUUGCCCUGCCAUUACAGUUAAUGGCGAUGUUCAUUAGAUGCUACAGCAUCUAGACUCUACUCAGCUCAUUGGCGGCUUUGGAGAAGACUGAAGGUGUGAGGUGUGUGUGGCCAGGUAGGGUAGAUUAUACUGUUACAGAUAGGCAGCUGUGGAGCAGUGAAGAUCAGUGAAGCUGUGAAGAUAUGCAGCUGUGGCUGCAACUUCACAGCAGUGUGUCUGCUUGAAGGCUGAGCUGUUGGCAUGGACUAACAAAGCUUAGACCAAGAAACUGUCCUUAUCACUUCCCAUGACAACCAAGGAGCUCCACUCACAAGCUUUCCAUUUAAAACACUGUAAGCAAACCAAGGUUGAAAGCACUCAGAGGCUACCUGUCUCAGCUUUGGGCACAGUCAUUUUCUGCACAUUUUCCUUCAGCCCAUAGCACUAGUCCCACUUCCAUCCUUGCUGCCCUGCUAGGCUUGGUACUCCAUGGAGGACCAACUUCUACUUCUGAAUAGCAGCUCUUGUACAAUAGACAGAGUUGGAAACCCAUGGACGCUCACAAAAUUUCAGCAUCAACACAUCCCCUGUUCUUUGUUCUUACAUGGGCUCCUUACUUCUCUUCAGUUGCACCUGACUCCUCAGCUACUGCUAAUGGCUCCUCAUCCAUUCCACAUCAGUCUGUACCAAGGGCUCCUGCAGUGUGGAGUGAUGGGCUUGAAUGGCAAAUGUUUCAGCCAGGGGAAAUGCUGCAACGCUGGGUGUAAUUGUGCAAAUUUAAAUUACAUAAAGGAUCACUAAAUUCAGUUAAUGGACCUCAGUUACCACUAACCUGGAUUUGAUUCAUUGUAUGCUCAGCCCUGUGGCCUUUAUUCUUUCUGAGAGAAUCCUGAAGGACCAUGUGGUCUUCCUGAAAAUAAGAGACAGAAGAAAAUAAGAUGUACAUAUCUGCCAUCCAUUUAGGCUGACAUCUUUGCACAUGCUUUUGACAUACAGUGAUGUUCUCCAUAUGCCUUUCACCCCAGCCAAAGACCAUUUGCAGUGUAAAAAGGCUUCAGCCAAGACAGCUCAUGGAAGGCAGGAGACAACGGCUAUACUUCCCCCACAUGCAUCCUGUUUAGAACGGGGUCUGAAAGGAGGGAAAAGCAUUUGCCAAUUUCCCCCUUCCCUUCAGACCCCCAGGCCCCCAUAAUACUGUCAGCUCAGCCUGUGUGCAGGCCAAAAGGGAAGUCCAGCUAUCUGAGGGAGUAAAAUACCCAUCAGCUUUCUUCUUUUCCCUUGCUUGAGGCUGUGCCACACACAGCCUGUUGUGCAAGAGCUGACAAGGCUGACAUUUGAGGUGAUGUGUUGAGGCGGUGCGUUCUUCUAUGCAGCAUGUGGAAAAUGAGCCCUGAGGGGACUUUCUUCCAGCAGGUGGCCCCAGGCAGGGCUCAGCCUUUUGUCACAUUGGAGGGAAACCACAAAUAGGUGGCAUCAGCUCAGAGAAUCUAAAGUAAGAGAAAAUGCACAGUUUAGAGGCACCAUCAAAGUGUCAGAACAGUGCACUAAUUUUGGUGUCUGCAGGAAAUUGUUUCUGCCGAUGAUCUGUCUGUCCUUCAUGGUGUGAUACACUGUGUCAUCUGAUAGCUUAGUUAGAGACCCGUGUUCAGGAUCUGUGAUUGUCAGGAUCACAACCCAUAGCAGUAAAGGGAAAAAGGGAGGAGAUUGCUCUCUCUUGCCACUCACCUGGCACAUAAGCUGUGCUGACAGGAUGCGAGGAGAAGCAUUAAGAGUAUGUGAGGGCAAGAGUAGUGCAAGGAGCUUGAAAACAAUGUAUGUAGCUGCAUCAGUAAUAUCCCAAGAUUAUUCAGGAAAAAGAAAAGAAAAAAAGAUACAAAAAGAGAUAAAAACAACAACAACAAGGAAGCCACAGUUGGUAGUGUUUAUGCAUAUUAAUCUAUGGCUUUUAUUCUCUAGACAUUGACAUGAUUACAAAGACAUUGCAGAAGAAAGCGACAGAGGGUUCACAUUUUGUGCACUCCUCAGGCAGCUUUGCUGCUUCAUGACAUCCUCACUCUUCCUCUUCAAUCCUCCUAUGGAAUUCCCGGCUCUUUGCUCGGAGCUUGUUGACCUGUGACUCUGCAAUGUCAGCCCGCUCCUCAGCCUCCUCCAGCUCGUGCUGGAUCUUGCGGAACUUGGAAAGGUUGACAUUGGACAGCUCCUCAGCCUCCUCAGAUUGUCUCUUGUAGGAUUUCACCUUCAUCUGUAGUUUGUCCACCAGAUCCUGGAGUCUAAGAAUGUUCUUGCGAUCUUCCUCAGACUGGUAGGUCAGCUCCUUCACCCUCCUCUCGUACUUGCGCACACCCUUCACGGCUUCAGCGCUGCGCUUCUGCUCAGCAUCAACCUCCCCUUCCAGCUCCCGCACCUGCAAUGAGAAACCCAUAUUUGAAGCUUCCCUGCUAUCUCUGACCUGGGAUUGCACACGCUUGCACAAAUACCAGCCCUACGCACCCUGGCCUCCAGCUUCUGAAUUUGCUUCUUGCCUCCCUUCAGGGCCAGCUGCUCUGCCUCAUCCAGGCGGUGCUGCAGGUCCUUCACCGUCUGGUCCAGGUUCUUCUUCAUCCUCUCCAGGUGGGCACUGGUGUCCUGCUCCUUCUUC